CGCAUAUUGCGCUCUUUGGUAUUCCGAAGAGCAUGCUUGUUUGAGUAUCAGUAAACACCUCAAAGCUCUUAAUUUUUUUGAGAGUUUUGGACUUGAGCAAUCCCAACACCAGUCUAUUUCAGAUCGGCGGCGGGUUGCUUGAAAUGCAGGUGCAGCUGGACAUUCUCCUGAGCUAAAAGCAUAUUUAUUUAGUCCCGUCAAACGGAUUAUUACUUUUGCUGCAGCUAAUAUAAAGGGAGUUUGACCGUAUUGGCUGACUGAUGCAGGAUUUCACAAAGGUCGGCAACGAUCCUUGUAAAACUCGAUCUCAAAUCAAGUAAGACUACCCGCUGAACUUAA
RNAcentral lists this unclassified non-coding RNA (339 nucleotides) under Linnemannia schmuckeri. Its description in RNAcentral is "partial contains 5.8S ribosomal RNA, internal transcribed spacer 2, and large subunit ribosomal RNA". Lineage: Eukaryota; Fungi; Mortierellomycota; Mortierellomycetes; Mortierellales; Mortierellaceae. The record is from RNAcentral.